CUAAAUACAGUAGCUAGGCUGUUAUCUACAAGACCUCAGCACUCAUCCCUCACUUUUCAACUUCCCUGUAAUGGGAAUUCACUGCCCCUGAGCCCUGUGGGAUGCACAGAGGAAGGAUUCUGGGUUUGCUAGGGUAUGCCAGUGGGCAGCUCCCCUAACCUCAGGGCUCCUUGGGGCUGCUGCCUUGUCUGUGUGUCACCUCCCCCACCUUUUUAGCUCAUCUAUUGCUGCACGAAUAAACGGUGUGCCUUGUGGAUAUAAAUACCAGAGUAUGGCCUUUCAACUAAGAGACAUGUUGGUGUAUAUAUACUUUGUGUGACAUAUUGUUCCUUGUUGUAAGGUCUGCUUACACUGUCAGAGCUGAGUGUACAGGCCUUUGGUGAAAAAACGACAUAAGGCUGGUCUGUUUGGCCAGUCAUUUUGUUCACAGAAUAAGCUGUAAUGUUGCUUUCCCCCCUGUAAUUCUUAUUUGGUGGUAGGGUGGGGAUUUAAUUUAAUUUAAUUUAAUUUUUAUUUUGAAAGGUUAAAAACUCCACAAAGCUGUUUUUACAGUGUCACAAUAUGUGGGCAAAUGAACUUAUUAAAUUACAUAAUGUUUGAAAAGCAAAUUUAGUAACAGGAAAACAAAAUUAUAUGAGUGUACUUUCUUUUCUUUUAGAGCAGUGAAAUACUAAGAUAAUAAACAGUAAUUGCUAAAUUCAGAUUUUGUGGGUAAUUUAGAAUAACAACCUUACUCCUUCAGAGUACAAGUCACACCCAAUUAAUGCAGGCUUCAGAAGUGAGAGACUUUCCCUUCUUGGGAGGGGCCUCCAAAGGUAAGGCUUUAAAAUGCAUUUCCCUUGUAGGCUUCCUUGAGAGCUGAUCAGUCUGGCAAGCUGACAGCAAGGAAGACCAAAUCCCUUGAUGGGGCUUGAAGAUAUGUUUGAAUACAGCAUGACUGAAAACAGAGAUUAGCCUUCUCACAUGUGGUCCUGAGCUGUCCUUCCACCCUCACCACACCAGGUUCCCUGCCAAGUGAGUGUGAAGGAGGGUGAGCUGGCUUGACUCUAGCCUCCCUCACUUUUGUUUGACAAAGAAAACUAACAUGGAACAAGAUUGUUAACAUGUCAAUAACUAAACAAAUGGUAUUGUGAAGUCCUUCAUAAACGAGAAGUGAGACAGAUACUUUCAGGUGCCUGGGCAGAGCUGACUGGAUUGACAGUGCAGGACAUUUAUUUCAUUAAUACAAACAAAACUGUUUAUUUUGCGGUACUAUCCUUACUUCUAAGUGCUUUCUGAAACCAGAGACAUCACCUGCUUUCUUGACAGAAAUCAAAGCAAUUCUUUCUUUUUUGUACAUGUAACAUAUAAUAAUAUUGCUAUGUGUCUUCAGCAUUCUGAUAUUGAUGUUAUUAUGUAUUCAAUGGUUUCUCAGGUCUGCUUUUAUAACAGAGCCUAGUUCUAAGGAGAAGAAACAGCAACAUUCAAGAAUGAAGAAAUGGGUAAAUGUCUAUUAGAUGAGACAUACUACUGCUAUCAGGGCAAUAUGGGGACACACUGCAGUUCUCUAAAAAAUUUGAAACUCCUAUCUAAUGUUAUAUAUUAAUGGAUUAUUUUUAACAUGGAUGUUUUUUAUUAAGCAGGAUGAGUUUGAAACAGCAAGUUUGUGCCCCAAUGUUAGCACAAGUCUUAUAAGACUAAAUAAUAUAAUGUAUUAUGACAGCUACUGUAAAGCUGAGUGACACUUCUGGUUUAGGAAACUGUGAGACAUAACCUCUAUUCUUUAAAGCUGAAGAUAGAAAUUUAAAAAAUGUAUUGAAUGAUUUAUCUUAAGAAGACACAUGCUAAGUCCUGUCAGCAAGCACAGCCAUCACUGAGUUCCUCUCAGAAAUUGCAUGUUGCAUGCAACACAGUUACAUACUUGUGUAGCGUUGAUGCAUUCAGUGUAAAGUUAAAAAACCCUCCAAAUUAAAUAUGUCAGCUUGAUAUUUUUCCCUACAAGUUCUCUUUGGGUAGGGGGCAUACUUAGCUUGUUUGAAUAGAGAGGAAGAGUUUUAAUUGCCUUCUGGCCAGCCUUGCCUCCAUGGGUCUACGUGCAGAUGUGAGAGAGGGUUAUGGCUACUAGAUCUUCAAUUUGUGUCUUACUGAGAGGAGGAGAAGCAAACAUGCCGUAAGAGAGAAAUAUCUGUAUUGCAUGCUGCAUUGUGCCAGACAAUGCGGAUACAGAGGCACUUAUGCAAGGACUGGCUAUCUCAAAAAUAUUCCCAAAAAGACAGUUUGGAAACAAUUAAGAAUGAAGAGAAUAUGUUUUUUGUUGCUUGAGUAUAUAUAGUAUGGGAAGAUUAAAGACAUUGCACUUGUAUGUCACAGUUUGCAAUCAAGGGCUCAUGUGAUUCCAUAGAAGUCAAUGCAAGAACAUGAUAAUUGGCUAAACGAAAGUGCUUGAAUGAACAUGGUUAAUUAUUUUAUAGCCACUACAUUUUACACUGAUAAAGCAAGAAGCAGCAGCAGUAAAAGCAGAAGAUACCAGAGGUUGUUGAUAGUAAACGGAUAAAAAUACCUAAAAAGCACUAUGAUACCAAGGACAUUCAGAUAGUGUUGUUUAGUAGUGAUAAAAAAAUACAGAUUACAAUUUUGUAAAAGUUCUGGUAUUUCUAAGAAAGCAGAAUCAAAUUAGAAUGAAAGACCCAAAACUGAAAGUAACAAGAACCCCAGGCAUUUUUAGAUACUCAUAGUACUGAAGUAUAAAUGUGAUAGAAAAAUGAACACAAAUAGAAACACAAAUAUUACAGGAAAAUAACCCCUCACAAAUGUUACCUGAAAUGGUACAGAAACAGUAAUUAUGAAAACUGGAUUUUGAACCUCUUAAUAUACAGUAAAAGUGCAAGUGAACUGACACUCCUAUUAGGGUAUCAUUUCAAUCUGAGCAAAUUAAAUACUUGCAUUUCAGCAUAAGUUCCAUAGACUUUUCCAUAGCCAAAUUUCACUAUUUCCAAGUCAGACUCCACAGGCAAUGCAUUAAGAUGAAGCAAAAGAAAAACUGCAAAACACUCUAUUCUCUGUUGCCAACUGUUGACAGUUACAGAUGAUGUGCCUGGUAUUUGGGGAAACUAAACAAGUCCAAGCCAGAGGCAAUAUCUGACUCUGUAUCACAGAGUUUUAGGGAAACCACAGCACUGAAUGCAUUGCUAAUAAAAGUACAAUAUGCAAACUCUGCAGCAUAUAGUGAAAAUAGAUUUUUGCUUGCAAUUCUCUAGAGUCCAUACAUUACUGUAAGGAUUUCACAUUCUGCAUGAUUUCACCACCUUUCCAGAAUAGCUGGAAAGCUCGUUGAUUUAACUGUGGGAGCAAAGUAAACUUGUAAGAACUGUGCUUGCUAAUGUCACUCUCUUUGCUUCCUGUUGCACUGCCUUGAAGACAAGGAUUGAGUGGGGGAGAGAGGAGGGGAAGGAGAAGACAAAUGAGCUCAGGGCAUGAAGUAUCAGGGGAAACACUGGAUGGACUGUCAAGAGAUACAAGAGGGGACUGCAAAAAAAUUCACUGCUGGGAAAGGAAAAAGCAGAAAAGUCAAACACACCUUAGGGAAAUAAUGGGGGAUGUGGAAAGGAGCAAGAGACAAGGUAAGAAAGUAAGGAAACGUAGUAGGAGGUCUGGAGAGCAAAAUGGAGUAAUGGAAGAAAGGCUGUGGAUUUCCAGAGAGAAGGAUCCAGAGAUCUGGAUCAGAUCUGUGCCUGCUGAUACCGCUUCUUAAAGAAGAGGAAGAAAAAUGAAAGAAAGCUGAAAAGAGAUAAGGAACGGUGGCUACUGGGAUUACUUCAUGUCUAAGGUGAUCAUAAGCAGCCUAAACCUUCCAGAAGAGCUUGAGAGGGGAAGAAACAGUUGUAUUUUUACCGAGGAGCCUGCAGAAGCACCCUGCAGGCUGUGACUGCUCAGGGACAGAUCCCAAACGCCCAACACUGGGCUGAGCAGGAUCUGUUCCAGAGCAGCUGAAGGGCAGCUCUCCGUGUCUGUGAGAGACGGGCACGGUGCCGAGCGCUCCCGUGCUCACACACACCGCAGCCCUGCCCGGGCAGCCUGUCCUGGGGGGAUUCGCCCUGGCACAGCAGCCUCUGCCAGCUCCUCAUGCAACCCAAGGACCACAAAGCAGCCACAGGUUGGCAUGGCUGAGCAAUUGCACAAAGGCUUCUUAGGCAUUUGCUUCUGGUAUUUCAAAACCUAAGUCAAGAGAAAAUAUUCUUUUUGUGCACCUGGCUUAGCUAUCUGUAUGUAAAGUCAGAAUGGAAACUGCUGCAUAGAAAUAAUGCCAUACAGGCUAGCUAGGAAGUGUCACUUCCAAAAUGCUAAUAUGCAGAUAAUUAGUUUAACUUUUAAGAUUUAUCUGUUUAAAUGUUCAUAUUAUGCACACAUAAUACGCAGUUAUAGUUAAUAGUUUUCAGCUCAGAUAGCUCAGAAUUUUGUGCGAAAAUUUGAUUAGGCUGAUUACUUUUAUACCUUGUUUAAUACUAUAAUUUCAUUAUAAAACCUAAUCUGGGCAGCAUUUAGCUUCAUAUGGCUCCAUUAGUUUUUCAGUAUGCAUGCAUUUUCAAUAAUUUCUGUAAAUGCUCUGUUAACACCAUUUUUAUUCAGCAAGUUUUUGGACCUCUGAAAACAGGUAACAGUUACUAUGAAUUUGAGCAACAGUGCUUUAAAAAAAGUACACAUUCCUAAAAUAUAAGGUAUCAGUUUUGAUCAGUACACUAUAACCCUUAGCAAAACAGAAAUUUACAAAUCCAUUUUGCCAUAAAGAUUUUUAAAAAUCCCACAACAAAGAAACAAAGAAAACAGAUUAUAUGAUAUCCUAAGUAAUUCAAGCUAGUACUUACAAUUUCACUGUAAAAACAAACAAAAAAACCCCCCAAAAACCCCAUUUCUUGUGUGUUAGUCCUUCCCUUCUUUAGGGAAAGAAGAGACUAAAUAAAAUAAACUAUAGAUUAACUAGUGUCCAGGCUAAAAUAAAUAAAAAGUAUAUUUCUUCUGGAUCUGAUAUUAGUGUGAUUUAAAUUGUGGAAAAAAGCCAUUAAAAGAAACAAGACCAAAUGCUUUAGUAUGUGCCAGAGCAGUGAUUGCCAAUUUUUGGGAUGCAAUGUUUUUGCAAAUAUUUCCCCUUUGUACUGAAAAGUCCAAGAGGAAAAAAGAAAGAUUGAAUCAUUUUCAUAAACCUGCUUUCAAACCACUGAGAACUCAGCUGAAAUAAGUUAUUUGGAUCCAUGCUCCACGUAUACAACCAGACUUGCACAGGAGAAUAGUUAACCAAGCCAUUCCUGAGUUGCUCCUAAGGCUGAACUUUUUAUUACUGAAGUCACAGUAUUCUUCCUUUGUGUAUCUUCAGCCACUUAAACAGAUUUGUGACAAUCAAAAGGUGAAAAAACCUGGCUAUACUCAAAACUAGUUGACAAAAGGCAUUUCUGGUCCAUUGGACAUUCAAACAGUGGAACAUUUUUAGCUGUGAGUGGGAAGGAAGUCUGGAUUCACCACGGAAUAUAAAUUCUAUCCUUUUCUCAAAAUAUUUUGAGAAUCUGAGUAACACAGUAAAUAAAAUACAUAAAUUAACUGUGAUAUUAAAAGAAAAUGCAUUCAGCAGUGAAGUUGAAAUAUUAUGCUACGAAUCCAGAAUGAUUUCUUUUCAGAAUUUCUUAUUCCUCACUCGAUGUUUGAGGGAUAUCUUUCCAUUUUAACAAGGCUUCAUUUUUUUCAACAGAAAACAUUUCACCUGGUAAUGUUUUAGCCCCAUACUACCCACAAACAUCAAUAUGCAGAAGCUGAGAGAGAUACACCCUUGUACAUCAUGUCACGCCCCCACAAACCCCUGUGAUAAUUCACGGGCUCCAUCUCUUUUGGCAAUAGUAGCAGAAACCUCCCAAAGUUCAGCGUAGUCAGAUUUAAUGUUAGUAAUCAUGAGCACCAAAAAAUCACAAUAAUACUUGAUCUUAUAAUAAAAAAUGGCAAAAGAGUUGUGUUCACAAUUAUUUUUUCCUUCAAAAGGGAAAUAUACAGACAUAGAUUUGGGGCAUGGGGAUUUUAUGUUCAAAAGAAGCAAGCAGCUAUCAUGACUGAUGGAUAUUUUUAAGAAUGCUGUUUUGGCAAGAAAAAUAACACAGUGCCUUCCUCCUGCCCCUUAUUCCCUGUGGCUUUACAUAAUCAGUACAGUUUUUUUUAUUUUUGGUUUUAACUUGUACUGAGCAUCAUAGAAAACAUUACUGGAAGGGACCUUGAGAGGUCAUGCAGUCCAACCUCUACCCCAGGGCAGGAUCUGUUCUUCCUGCAUUGGUCCUGAAAGAUGUCUGUUCUGUUUUUAAAGACAGUCUAUGAAGGGCAAGGGGUCACUAUCAUUGUUGUCUGCUCCAGGGCUCCAAAACCUUCACCGUGAAGUUCCUCCAAAUGUCUGAUCGGAAUCUUCCUUGUUGCAAUUAAACAGAUUACUGCUUCACCAUGGCUACAGGGAGGAGAUAAAUAUCUUUGCUUCUGCAAAAGCCUCAUACACUUGCAAAUUUGGGAGAGUGAAAUUGCCUAGCUUUUUCUAUAAUUACUUCAGCUUGGGAAUUCUAGCGACACAUUGGUGGGAGGUAAUUGUUUAGGAAGUGCUUAAGCAGCAGCUUGGAAAUAAUACUAAUAGUUACUGAGGGGAAUAGCCUGCCCUUUGGGCUCUCUGUAAGUCAGCUGGACAUAACCUAACUCAGACCAGAAAGUCUGCAUGAAAGCAGAUCAGGUGUGAAAGACGGCUAUUUACAGACUCAGGAAACAGCUGUGCACUUCAUGACACACAGUACCUUAAAUUCUCCCUAUGAUGGAAACUACAGACCUAUCACCCAUUGAAUAGUGAAUAUGAUAUCCAAUUUUUUUGCAGACACCAUUAAGAUGCAUUCAGGAGCUGCCAGCUACUGCAGGACACCACAGUAGGUUACACAGAAACUACAGCCAACAUGGGCUCAUGAGAGUUGCCUCCACCGCCUUGCCUCCAUCACCACACCUUGCCUCAUCAAACGGCAGGCACUGCUCCCCCGUUCCUCCUACAACCUCAACAUUUUUGGUGAGGUCUUUCGCACCGGUGAGCGACUUGGGCCGAUAAAUCCUGCGGGUGUUUGUGUCGGAAACGUACAAAUCUCCCGUCACGGGGUCGGUUGCCAGCCAUUGGGAUAAGAAGUCAUCCAAUCAAAAAGUAAGUAAUUUAUGCCUAACACAAUUAUUUAUUUCCAAAAAGAAAUUUUAAAGCUCUUUUCUUCAUAAAUAUGAAGAUGUACAUGCUAAUUAAUUCCAACAAAAAAGAAAUCAGGGCAUGAGUUCUCACGGUAAGUACCGUAUCCUCAUAAAAUAAAAAAAAAUACACCUGAUAAUUUAAAUGUAUUUUCUUAUUUUCUUAAAGAGUGGAAGUGCCUAGGAUAUUACUACUGGAUCAACAGAAACUCUCCAACUUGCCAUAUGCAGAUGUCUAAUGGCUCCUUUCUGAGCUGAUACAACAGGCUUAACCUCAGUGUUUCAUUUCAGGUGAAGGUUGCACAGCCAAGGAGGCUUUAGCCAAUAGCAACCCCCAAUAAUUGAUGGGAAAAAGGCACAAUUUGAGGAACUGAGUAACUGUCAAGUGAAAACUACAUUUCUAGCCAGAAAACAUCCAUGAGCACUAUGCAGACCUGAAAAAUAGUACCGGGAUAAGCAGCCAGCAGUUGGAAAGAAGCAGAGUUUAUACAAUUUCAUUGUACCCUGAAAUGAAAUUAAGCUUCUGCCUUCUACCCAUAACAACAAAUGCAAAGAAAUGAAAUCCCCAGCCCGUGACUUAUUGACUCAUUCAAUAUUGCCUAAUCACUUUCAGUAGCCUGCAAAACAUGGAGUUACAUACCCACACUGGCUCCUGCAAAGACAAAUGUCUAAAAAUUAACUUGCUCUGUCUAUGCUGUAUAAUAGUAAGUGCUUUGAAUUGAAAAUGUGCACACACUUGCACAGAGCUGUAAUGAUCUAUUUCUCUUUGCUUUUAUCUUGCUUAGGCCAAUCUUUUAAUUCUUCAGCUGUCAGAUCACCUGGACUAUUCUCCAUGUACAGAAUUUUUGAAAACGCUCCUCCUGCUUCAGUCCCUGUCUCUCUUGCCUUCACUGUGUACCCUCUAAACCAUAUAUCCCCUCAAAGCUGUUUUUCUGUUUUGUUAAGACUUUUUUUUUCUGGCUCUCUAUAGAUUUGGGAUAGUGCCAUAGCCUCCAAAAGACCUCCCUGUCUUCAAAGUCCUUCUAAAAAUGACUUUUUCCAUGAAUGUCUAUCAACAUUAAUCACCCACAGGCAGCAGUGUGUAUAAAGACAUCAUUCCAGCUUUGAGAUUGAAAGAAUGUGAGGUCACUGGUACAUGAGAGGAGAAAUUUGAUCUGCAUUCUCUCUCCGUAAGACAGAGUACAGGCUUCUUGAGGUAGGAGACACAUCACGCUGUGCUGAAACACCGUGUUUAUAGGCCAGGAAAGGUGAAUGCUUGAAUAGACAAGAGAUCUGAACUAGCAUUUAGCCUCAUUCAGUAGUUUUACUUGGGGAAUGCAUUUUUUAGUGCAUUUUCUUCUAAUGCCUAGCAAUUAUCUUUUGCAAAGUGGUCUGUUGAGGGCUUUUUUCCAAACUGCAGUUUAAGUAGAAAUCUCCACAGCAGUCUGAAGGGCUUGCCAGUGAAACUGGACAUUUUCUCCCUUCUCCUCUUACAGGCCAGACAAAUGUGCUUCCCUCUGCAGCAUUUCACAGGACUCUGCACGAAUUCAUGCAGCCAAAAGGAGGUACUUGGUCUCACAAAUUUUGGUGUCCUUAGCUGGAAAGCCCAUGGCAAGAGGAUUUGGUGGAUCCUAAAAGUUUACACAUCUUCAAUAAAAGGCAGCUAAAUUAAUAGAAUAAAAAGUUGCCAGGGGAUAUUAGGCAUAAAGAUCUCACUCUUGGCUUAGGAAGUCUCUCAUCAGCAAAUCUCUAAGGCUGAGAGUGGACAUUGGGAAAAUGUUGUAUGAUGUGAGAGAAAACUCAGACUCAUAAUAAAUCCUGUUGUGCUGCACAGUGGGCUCUGCACAGUGGGCUCCACACCUCCUGCCUACUGGCUCCACAACUGCUCCUGCAGAGCCAGUUCUCCACAGUCUUCUAUGUCUCCUUCUGCCCCAGGAGGAACCCCCACUUCACAGCUGCUAUAUGGGCCCACGCUGUUACACUAAUUUGUUUGGUAUGACUGCAAUUUUGCUACCCGGAGCUUCUGCAGGUUCAGGCAUGAAUAAAACAGAAAAGCUUCAGUAUUCUCCCUCACCAACUUCUCUUACAUGCAGGCAUCCAGUUUCUGAAACACUGCAGUUGAGGCUGUGACCACAGUUCUGCCGGAGGCAGGAGAGGGUGGUGCUACUAAAUCACAGCAAAAAGAACCUCAAUACGCAUCCACUCUUUAACCCCUUUUUGUACAUUCCACAAGCCCAUUUUAAGUAUUAUUCCACAUUCUAUAUAUUUGCCAAGACAAUGUCCUAUCUAGCUGCAAUCACAACUUUGUGAUACCGCAAGGGAUAUAAUUCUUUAAGAGUGGUGGAACACACACAAACUAAUUGUAAUAGUGAAACCCUAAACCCAGCAAACAGAAGAGACUGCCUUUGAGUCAUCCCUGGGAAAAAAACCACAAAACCAAUUCUGAUUAUUAGGACUGAUGCAGACACCUUAUUAAGUCAUGGAAUUUUUUGCCUACCAUAUUUGAAACAUGUUCUUGAAAUCAUAAAACCCUUCCUCAUACAGAAGUAUGUCCAAAGAAAAGUGAAUUUAAAAACCAAGGACAACAGAGAUAUGACUCUGGGAUUUGUUUAAAAACAAGAAAGAAAAAUGAUUGGCAGCAAAAAGGAGAGAAAGGUACCAGUGAGCCUGCUAAGCUGUAUACUUAGCAGUUCUGCCACUUCAAAUGUUUGCAGGGUUUCAUGUCUAAAACAAGAUUUUAGCAUGACUCUGUUUUUUUCCUCCUUAUCAGCACCAGCUGCUGUGGCAAAGCAAUUCUAAGCAUCCACCUACUCUUCUGUUCUUGCCAUUAUUGUAGCGAUGCCAGGAUGGAUGAAUGCUGUACUACAAUCCUCUGAUUACUGUUGUUUCUAUUUCAAUUUUGUGAGUUGGUAUAUUUUAAAAUCUUAACUCCUGGAGUUGUGUUAUUGUUAUUUCAACUUCCAUUAUUAAAAGAAGCUCACCUUUAAAGAAACAAAUCUGUUAAAUGAGAGCCUGAAAAGAUUCAACAUCAAAAGCCUAAUGAAAUUAACUCCCUUGAUACUUUUAUAUGCCAUUCUCAUCGUAUUUGGUGUAUCUGAUUAAUGAGUGAGUUUUGAUAGGAUCAGCAAAAGAGCUGCCAGCAAGGAGUGAGCAGAGAUGAGGGAACAGCAAAGGAGGGCACACACAAGCAUAACAAGAAGCCUGACUGUGGACAGAGAGUGAUGAGAAAAGAGGAACUCAUCAGAAAGGACGAUACAGCCUGACAGUUGACAUAACUAAAACAUAUGAACUCAUUAUUUUUGAAAAAUACUCCUCUUUUCUAGUAAUACAUCUCAGAAAUGACUUGCCCAUUAUAAGCAUUCAUUUGUUAAAAAAGAAAGAAGAACAGUUAGAAAAAUAUAAAUCUUCU
Motacilla alba alba is the source of this 10597-nucleotide long non-coding RNA. RefSeq lists it as uncharacterized. The transcript has 3 exons. NCBI's taxonomy places the organism in Eukaryota, Metazoa, Chordata, Aves, Passeriformes, Motacillidae. The record is from RefSeq and is a predicted model, not a curated record.